RNAcentral lists this ribosomal RNA (473 nucleotides) under uncultured bacterium. RNAcentral's name for it is "bacterial SSU rRNA". It matches the Rfam family "Bacterial small subunit ribosomal RNA", at positions 335 to 799 of the family's 1533-position model. The record is from RNAcentral.
ACUCCUACGGGAGGCAGCAGUGGGGAAUAUUGCACAAUGGGGGAAACCCUGAUGCAGCCAUGCCGCGUGUGUGAAGAAGGCCUUCGGGUUGUAAAGCACUUUCAGCAGUGAGGAAGGCGGGUACGUUAAUAGCGUGCUCGUUUGACGUUAGCUGCAGAAGAAGCACCGGCUAACUCCGUGCCAGCAGCCGCGGUAAUACGGAGGGUGCGAGCGUUAAUCGGAAUUACUGGGCGUAAAGCGCAUGCAGGUGGUUUGUUAAGUCAGAUGUGAAAGCCCGGGGCUCAACCUCGGAAUUGCAUUUGAAACUGGCAGACUAGAGUACUGUAGAGGGGGGUAGAAUUUCAGGUGUAGCGGUGAAAUGCGUAGAGAUCUGAAGGAAUACCGGUGGCGAAGGCGGCCCCCUGGACAGAUACUGACACUCAGAUGCGAAAGCGUGGGGAGCAAACAGGAUUAGAUACCCUGGUAGGAUAGCG